GACGAACGCUGGCGGCGUGCUUAACACAUGCAAGUCGAACGGAAAGGCCCUGCUUUUGUGGGGUGCUCGAGUGGCGAACGGGUGAGUAACACGUGAGUAACCUGCCCUUGACUUUGGGAUGACUUCAGGAAACUGGGGCUAAUACCGGAUAGGAGCUCCUGCUGCAUGGUGGGGGUUGGAAAGUUUCGGCGGUUGGGGAUGGACUCGCGGCUUAUCAGCUUGUUGGUGGGGUAGUGGCUUACCAAGGCUUUGACGGGUAGCCGGCCUGAGAGGGUGACCGGCCACAUUGGGACUGCGAUACGGCCCAGACUCCUACGGGAGGCAGCAGUGGGGAAUAUUGCACAAUGGGCGGAAGCCUGAUGCAGCAACGCCGCGUGCGGGAUGACGGCCUUCGGGUUGUAAACCGCUUUCGCCUGUGACGAAGCGUGAGUGACGGUAAUGGGUAAAGAAGCACCGGCUAACUACGUG
RNAcentral lists this ribosomal RNA (468 nucleotides) under uncultured bacterium. Its description in RNAcentral is "partial 16S ribosomal RNA". It matches the Rfam family "Bacterial small subunit ribosomal RNA", at positions 28 to 507 of the family's 1533-position model. The record is from RNAcentral.